UCUUUACAUUUCUAAAAACUCUUCCCAUUUGUAGAUUUCAACAGCCAUUUUGUUCUCAAAGCUGAUGGAGCCUACAGAGGGGCAGUAUUCCCAACCCCCUGUAGUCACAAUUCACAAGUCAAGCCUCAAACAAUCAUGAAUUAAAAAUCAUACGGGUUAUUUUAAACUAAACAUUAGAUUCUUUUUAUUUACCUAUUGAUCUUUUUGGGUACCUCUACACUACCCACCGGAUCGGCGGGUAGCGAUCGAUCUAUCAGGGAUCGAUUUAUCACGUGUAGUGUAGAUGCGAUAAAUUGACCCCCAAUCGCUCUCCCGUCGACUGCUGAACUCCAGCUCGGCGAGAGGCGGAAGCAAAGUCGACGGGGGAGCUGCAGCAAUCAACCCUGCACCGUGAGGACGUGAGGUAAGUCGAACUAAGAUAUGUCGACUUCAGCUACACUAUUCUUGUAGCUGAAGUUGCGUAUCUUAGGUUGAUUCCCCUCCUCCCCCCAGUGUAGACCAGGCCUUAGACUUUAUGGUCCACUUAGGUCAACUUUUUUAGUUUUUCUCUGCAGUUGUGAAGGACUGAAACAUUUUUUUUUUCUAAAGGAAAGCUAAGAUUCUCACCUAAUCACAGGAUGCCAGGAGCUGAGGCUUUAAGAAAAACAUCAGAUAUUGUGAGAGACAUAGUAAAAUUGCAAGAUUUGCCAAAACUGUCGAGCACACACACUGUGCUCUCUCAUGGUGGUUUUACUUUUACUUUUUCUUGCUUGUUUUUUUUUCAUUAAUCUAAAAUAAACUAAAUAAAGGCAUAUGUUUUUCCUUGUGUGUUUGUGAGCAUCACAUAUUAAAGAAAGUAAGUAGGGACCUGCUGGCUGGCUGAUGGUGUGUGUCUGAGUAAGAGUUGGCUGGCUGGAGUAUUGGACUGUGAAUAUAGUGCAGGUGCACUCCUUUGGUUGCUGGUUCAAGUUCAGCAAAGGUUGGAAGUGACACAGUUAUUACUAUCUGACAGAUGUUCAGGAGCCAUCUCAAAAGACCAUCUACAACUGACACUAACCAGUAAUCUCAACAAAGGCCUAGUACUAAACUGGCCUGGAGACUGCACUCCUUCCAUCAUCCAAGGUAGUAGUCCUAUUCUGAUCUCACUAACUCAGAUAUCAGUCAAAACUCAAAAUAGCACAAACCACUGAGAGAGCAAAAUCAGGCCUCAAGCCUUCAUAAAUCUGUUUUCUGAACCUUUAAUGAAUAACAUAUUCACCCUCCCCCAAAAUUUAUCAAUCAUACAAGAACUUUUACCAGGUCAUAACAGAUAACUGUGGAAAGAAGAUUGACUGGCAGCACUCUAUUUGGCAGGUGAUGGGAUUUGAGUCUAGGGGUACAUCUAUACCCAGCCGCUAGUUCGGCGGCUGGCAAUCGAACUUCUGGGUUCGACUUAUCGCGUCUUGUCUGGACGCGAUAAGUCGAACCUGGAAGUGCUCGCCGUCGACUGCGGUACUCCAGCUAGACAAGGGCUAGGUCUACACUACCCGCCUGA
RNAcentral lists this long non-coding RNA (1513 nucleotides) under Chrysemys picta bellii (western painted turtle). RNAcentral describes it as "lncRNA (ENSCPBG00000002946.1)". Lineage: Eukaryota; Metazoa; Chordata; Testudines; Emydidae. The record is from RNAcentral.